GACGAACGCUGGCGGCGUGCCUAAUACAUGCAAGUAGAACGCAGUAGCGAACGGGUGUGUAACGCGUAGGUAACUGCCUCAUAUCUGGGGAUAACUUUUGGAAAUGAUAGCUAAUACCGCAUACUGUGCGAUGGACCUGCGUUGUAUUAGCUAGUUGGUUCGGUAAAGGGUAACCAAGGCGACGAUACAUAGCCGACCUGCGAGGGUGAUCGGCCGAAGGGGGAGUGGGACACGGCCGAGACGCCGACGGGAGACAGCAGAAGCGGAACUUGGGCAAUGGACGGAAGUCUAGCCGAGCAACGCCCGGGGAGUGAAGAAGGUAUUCGGAUCAUAGAGCUAUAUUGUUAGAGAAGCGUUAACUAUCCAGAAAGAGACGGCUAACUACGUGCCAGCAGCCGCGGUAAUAC
RNAcentral lists this ribosomal RNA (407 nucleotides) under uncultured bacterium. Its description in RNAcentral is "partial 16S ribosomal RNA". It matches the Rfam family "Bacterial small subunit ribosomal RNA", at positions 28 to 526 of the family's 1533-position model. The record is from RNAcentral.